Molecule: small nucleolar RNA, 90 nt
Organism: Gorilla gorilla gorilla (western lowland gorilla)
Lineage: Eukaryota; Metazoa; Chordata; Mammalia; Primates; Hominidae
Gene: SNORD14
Rfam family: Small nucleolar RNA SNORD14
About the family: U14 small nucleolar RNA (U14 snoRNA) is required for early cleavages of eukaryotic precursor rRNAs. In yeasts, this molecule possess a stem-loop region (known as the Y-domain) which is essential for function. A similar structure, but with a different consensus sequence, is found in plants, but is absent in vertebrates.
Source: Ensembl
UCACUGUGAUGAUGGUUUUUCAGCGUUCACAGUUUCCACCAGAAAGAUUUUCCUUAGUGUUCGGUAAACCUUCCUUGGAUGUCUAUGAGA